UUUUGUUUACGGGGAAACUUCUCAGCAGCCAUUGAAGCCGAGGUAUAAAAUAAAACACCUAAAGCAGAUCAUGCAAUUGCUUAGGCUUAACAGCAAAAGGAGGCACAAGUUCAGGGCUCACUUAUUCAUUCAUUUCACAGUUCAUCCAAAUCUGCUGCGGUCAGAAAGUUCACGGACACAACCAAACAUAAGUACAUAACACUAGACCACAGCACGGUAGCAACAAAGCACAAGACCAGACGAGGACACACUGACAAUCCGAUCGGAGGACACAGAAAGGCAACCGACUUGUGAGCCCACAGACAUAAGCAGCUCCAUGGCCAGGCACUUACUGGCCACCACGGAGACGGAGCACCAGGUGGAGGGUGGACUCCUUCUGGAUGUUGUAGUCAGCGAGGGUGCGGCCGUCCUCGAGCUGCUUACCAGCAAAGAUGAGGCGCUGCUGGUCCGGUGGGAUGCCCUCCUUGUCCUGGAUCUUCGCCUUCACAUUGUCAAUGGUGUCAGAUGACUCGACCUCGAGCGUGAUGGUCUUGCCGGUGAGGGUCUUAACGAAGAUCUGCAUACCACCCCUGAGACGGAGCACCAGGUGGAGGGUGGACUCCUUCUGGNNN
This 611-nucleotide long non-coding RNA is filed under the name Triticum aestivum (bread wheat). Its description in RNAcentral is "long non-coding RNA (TAES_LNC006796)". The record is from RNAcentral. Lineage: Eukaryota; Viridiplantae; Streptophyta; Magnoliopsida; Poales; Poaceae.